CACCUAAAAGACUCAAAACUACUAGACAAGAUAAGAAAGUAAAAGAAAACAUGAAAACAGACAAAAAAUAUAAAAAGUCACUUGAAACAAGCUCCCAAAUGCUAUGGUCCUGGGGUAUCUUUCAUGCUCGAGCUCUGGUACAUGGAUCCAUACCUGAAUGAGAAAAAUAAGACCGAAUAAAGUUAGUAACUCGAGAUAUUAUGUGAGCCAUAACACCUCCUAUUAGGCACAUGCAAGACACAAGUGGGGCUAUUUCUACAAAAUGGCUAACGAGGCCAAAAGGUGACUAGAAGUGAAAACUCAAUUAGGACGACCUCUAAAACAUGAAAACACCUCACGAAGGCCCAUAAACUCUCAGGAAUCGCGGUCCCUAAAAUUGCUUUGUGAAAAUGACCCCACUUUGCGAAAAUGGCCUAUGUGGCCGAAAAAUGGCUAAGCAUGCAAAUUCAACAGGAAUAAACCUUAGACUGAUAGAACAUCAUGUUGUGGACUUAGGACUCUAAGACAUAGGUUAACAAGCCACUUUGAGAAAAUAUCCCUACUUUGCAAAAACGACCGAUGUGGCCAAAAGUGGCUAGACAUGCAAGAUUUGGCUACGACCCUCGAAGCCAAGAACUUAAGACUCACUAGGAAGACCGGACCCUAUGUGGGCUGCCUACGUAUCCCGCCCCGAAAGACGAGAAUCAGGUAGGCGUAGUUCGUGAAGAUUGGAUACGGAAGAAAACUAAAAAAACAACUGAUUUGGAGAAAAUAUAUUUUUGUCUUUUUUGGAAAGUGAUGGGAAAGUGCAAAAUCUUUUUGGAUUUUUUCAUUUUCAUUUAUUUUUUUGGUCUUUUUCUUCAAAAAGUUGUGAAAGAAAAGUAUAACUAGGCCCUACUUGCUUCAUUUUUAUACUUCACCCUCUUUUCUUUCUCAUUUACCCUCAACCAUCAUUGGUCUGCCAAAUGACCCCUUUACCCUUAAAGAAUGCAGCAUGUAGCACAUAGGGAUGAUUAAAUAUCUUUUGUGGCCACAGGCCCAUUUUGACAAAAUUUGGAUAGGCCUCCUAUAAAGGGACAUGGCGCCCGGGACCGAGCCCUGUUAGGUCUAAAUGAUAUGAUGCAAAUAAGAAUGACCUAAAGGCUGACCUAAGUUUAGGGUUCACUAGACAAGGCAAUUCGGGGGAGCGUAUGGUCGAUGGUGGCUGCUCAAGCUUUCCACCCACUCCAUACGUCCGAUGCCCCCCUCCCCCCCUAAAAUAAGGGUGACUCAACAAAGAGUUCGUGUACGCGACGUGCACUACGAGACUUGUUGCAGAAAGAAUUGACCGGGUAAUGCAUAUGGUGACAGUUAUAAAGCAGUAACCAAUAAAGAAAAAAAAUUGUAAACACAUAAAUAACUAGCAAAUAAUAAAAUGGCAUAAACAAAAUAAAAAUCACAUAAAGUAUAACAUAAAAACCUCAACCGAAUAUUAUAAAAAGCCAAUAAGAUUAAGUACCAGCUCGAACCUGCAACUCCCAGCAGAGUCGCUAAAGCUAUCACACCCUUUUUUUUUUCACCUCACUAACCCCACUAUAAAAUAAUAAAACGAUUUUGAAAGCUCAAAAGGGUUUUCAAGUCCUAAAAGUGACAAAGGAUUGUGUUUUAAAGGAUUUUCAGAGUCGCCACCUGACAUUUGAUUUCGGUGUGCCAGGUCACCAUUUUUUAAAUAACAAUUUUCCUUCAAAAUACAUUUUUACUCUUAAACCACGUACACCAGAGAUUCUAGGUAAGGGAUUUCACUUGACUCGGGGAGAAGGUGUUAGGCAUUCCCCGAGUCCCAUGAAAGUCACGGUUGCGUACUCAAUCUAGUUGGCUUUUAAAAUAUUUAAAUUGAGGUAAAAAAACACAGAGAAAGGAAAAUAAACACACAAGAGGCUUGAGGUUGUCCCCACCUAAUAAAAGGAAUAAAAAUAAAAUAAAAUACUUAAGUUCUAUUCUACGCUUCCUCGCAUCAUCCAGUCUCUGGCCUUCAUUUACAUGUACUUCGGGGCAUUCACCGGUUAAAAUAUUUACAAACUCUUUGGGACAUAUCCCAAAAUAUAAACUAAAGGGAACGACCUCUUACCUCAAAUGAAAUAAAAAGACAAGACCUAAAGUUUGCCUACACGGGUGUGGUCAGCCUAAGUAUGCUCCUAACGAUCAAAUGAGUAUAGCGAAAUAAAGAACUAAUAGAAAUGAUCCAAAGCUCAAAUUGUUAUAACUUUUUCAAUUCUCUGCCAUGACAAUUUUGUCUUAAGGAGUCCAAAUGUGAUUUUGCUCUUUAAAUCAGGCAAACCCCCACAGCCAAUUUAUCAAUUAAAUAACAAAAUCCAACAAACCACUAAUUUGAAGCUAUAAGUGAACUAUCAUUCUUUUCUUCCUCUUAAUCAAGUUUAAUGAAUGAUAGGCUAAUGAUCUAACAAUAAUCUUUAAAGCUAAUAAUAAAAGGAAUACGAAAGCAAUAUGAGUGCCAACCAAAUGAAUACACUGCUAAUAUCAAACGAAUGACUUCAUUUCAUCAAAAGUUAAUACACAAAAUUUUAAGAAAGGCAUGAGUAAGAAUCUGACCUUAAAACAACGAGUUUGAACUUUGAUUGUUUGAUGGCUCUAAGACUCAAAAACGAACGGGACCGCGAACAAGAUCUAAAUCCGAAAACCUCACCGGAAACCUCGUCGAACUCAGACCGGAUUGCCUCGCUACCUCCCUUUACUCAGAUCUGAGCGUCCAAGACUUUAAACUCACUAAAAUUCGACCUUUAAUGGCAGUACCUUUUGUCGAUCGAAAGUAUUUUGAAGAUAAGAGUGGAAUCGAAGUUCUGACGUGAAGUUAACAAUGGGAAGCUAAUGGAGCUAUGGAGGUUGCAUAAUAGUUUUAAUGGCUAUUUUCUGUGGAGAUCGAGUGUAGUUAGGCAGCAGCUCUUCUGAUACUAGGCAUGCUCUGUUUUCUCUCCGUCCUCCUCCCUCUCGUCACUCUCUCUGUCCGUUCCUCCGUAUAUCUCUUACACUAUUUUGUUUCUGAUUUUACCAUCCUCUUCUUCUUUUUUUGAGAAGAAGGGGUGUCAGGUGCGGUUCUCCUUCAGCUAUGUGUGUGUGUGCGUGUUUUCCGGCGGAUUUUGGUGGAAAGGGGCUGGUUUUCGGUGGACUUUGGUGGCAGUCGGCGUGGUCAAGGGAGGUGGGGGUGCGGCUCUUGUUUUUGGGGUCAGGCCUGGGCGUCGGCAGUAGGUAGGUAAGGGCGAAGGCGGCAUAGACGGAAUGGAGAUGAGGUGGGAUGGUUGUUGGCUUUUCCAGGGUUCCUAGGUUUUGAUGAUAUUAGCUUUAUAUAUGGUAUGAAGGAAAUAUCUUGGCUAUUGGAUUAAACGGAUGGAAGGCCAAGAUUGAAUCACUUAAACUGAUGGGUCCAAUGGAUUUGAUGGGCGUGGGUCGCGGGUCAUGGGUUAAAAAUGGUUUGAGGGAUUGGGCUGGUUUAAUUGGGUAAGGGAUCCGAAUUGGGCUAUCUCAAGGUUGGGCUUUUAAAAUGAUGAAAUUCAUUAACUAAAAACCUAAGUUUUCCUUCUUUAAUAUAAAGUAUUUAUAAAAAUGUAAGACCACUCCUGGUUGAUUUUAAUAAACUAUUAAAAUAAAAAUAAAAAUUAAAAGCAAAACUAUUUUUGGUAUUUUCAAAGAUUAAACUAAAAUAAGGCUAAAUUAGUAUCACCAUAAAAAUACUAACUACUUAAAUAAAUACAAAUAAGAUAAAGAGUGAAACUAUUUUUUUGUUUUUAAUUUUUUAAAUGCUAAAACAACAAAAUAAAAUAUUAUAUAUACAUAUUAAAAUCCUACAAAAUUUAAUAUAAACUCAAAUAUAUAUGUAUAAAAUAUUCGACUGGCUUGAGAACGUGGCGGGUCAAAAAUUAUGUGCUUACAGCUGCCCCUCUUUGCUUGGAAACACGAAGUAUUUUUGAGCAAAGAAAUAAGCAAUGUAAUUGAUUUCUGACCCGACACUUAUUCGAAAGAAAAUAAAAAUGGAUAAAAAGAUUGUGCCCGAGCCCUGGUAUCUGAGCUGCCUACAUAUCCUCAGCUAUAAAGGAAUCAGGCCAUGUGUAGUUCAGAAGUGAUGGAGUAUGUGGAGAGGAUGAGAGAGCCGAGUGAGGUACCGUCGAGGUUCCGGUCCGCGGUUCCUGCCAUUACAUCAAAAAUAAAAAAUCAAAUAAAAAUUACAUGGAAACCACUAAAUCUUAUCUAUUGUUCUGUCUUGAAUCUUUUAUAGUCUUGUUGUGCAUCUCGAACUGUUGACUCGCAUUCUUGAGGCGAACUUCAGCUACUUUUAACAUGAAUUGACCAUAUUCUUCAGGCGGGCUCCUGUUGUUGACUUGAAGCUUGAACUAACUCUGAAAUGAACUCCCUCGUUCUUCAGGUGAGCGUCUGCUACUGACUUAAAAAUUGAAAUAACUCUGAGAUGAAUUCCCUCAUUCUCCAGGUGGACGCCUACUACUGACUUGAAAUUUGAAGUAACUCUGAAAUGAAUUCCCUCGUUCUUCAGGCGGGCUCCUGCUAUUGACUUGAAGCUUGAACUAACUCUGAAAUGAAUUCUCUCAUUCUCCAGGUGGGCGCCUGCUACUGACUUGAAAUUUGAAGUAACUCUUAAACAAAUUCCCUCGUUCUCCAGGGGGCGCCUGCUACUUCUCUGAAUUUAACCUGAAACCAAUUUCUGAGAUAUUGACCCUCGUUCUCCAGGUAGGUACCUGCAAUCGAAAACAACAAAACAAAUAAAAUUUUCUGCCCCAGUUUGCACUAGGAAGAUUUUUGAGUUGUCAGCAAAACUGUAAAUCACCUAUGCUAUUGAUGCAAUGAUGAGAGUAAAACUAAAGACUAGGCUAGGAUGUGCGUCUCCUGUGAGUAAAACCAAGAAAAUGUGACUAGCAAAUGCAUCUGCUAAGAGAAAACCUGAAUGACCCGAACUAGGAAGUGCGUCUCCUAUGAGUGAAAUCUCAAUUUAGGAAAUGCGUCUCCUAAAAGUAUAUCCUGAAAGACCCAAAUUAGGAAGUGCGUCUCCUACGGUUGAAACUUGAAUGAACCAACCUAGGAAGUGCGUCUCCAAGGGGUGAAACAUGAAUGAAUCAAAAUAGGAAGUGCGUCUCCUAGGGGUAAAAUUUGAAUGAACCAAACUAGGAAGUGCGUCUCCUAGGGAUGAACUUAAAUAACCUAAACUAGGAAGUGCGUCUCCUAGGGGUGAAAUCUCAAUUUAGGAACUAGGAAAUGCGUCUCCUAGAGAUAAAACUUGAAUGACCCAAACUAGGAAGCGCAUCUCCUAGGGGUGAAACCUUUUAACACAAAAUUAGGAAGUGCAUCUCCUAAAAAGCAUGGCCUGAAAGAUUUAAACUGACCCUAUUCUCCAGGCGGGACCCCUGAACUCAAGGAAAACUAAUGAUUACCAACCUAACGAAAUUGAAAACUGACCCUAUUCUCCAGACGGGACCCUUGAACUUUAAGAAAGCUAAAGAUUAACAACUUAAAAAUUAAAAACUAACCCUAUUCUCCAGGCGGGACUCUUGAAAUCAAGGAAAGCCAAAGAUUCCUCUCAACUAGGGAAAAUGCCUAGGAGGUGUGAUCUUCUCAAUAGCCAUUGCGUAAGCAGAAUUGGGGGCAUUACACCUGAAAAAUUCAAGCUUCCAAGCUUUGGUAUGAACAUAGCCUUCAUCCAUGUUUCAGACAAAGAAAACUUGUGAGUUUAAAACAUGGUGGUUAGUUUGUGGCCUUGACUACGAGGGAGAUUUCUCUUGCACUUGUCACGAUCAACUUGGACUUCAACUUGGAAGACAGUGCUUGUUAUCGGCCGACCGCUUUUGCGGACAACCCUUAUCACAAGAAAUAUUCCUGAUUCGUUCAAGUCCAAUACCUUAUGCCUGAUGCAUUACACUCGUCUUCUAACAUUCACCAAAUCUUUGCAUUUUACAUCAAUCCUAAAGAACAUCUAUUAUCACCAACUCAGUGCACACACUAUUCUCCUGUGUCUUAUGCCAUUUUUAUGUGCUUGCCAGACUCUGCUUUAUGUGGUUAAAAGCUGGUAGCAGAUUUUGAAGUCAUUUCUCACUUGUUUCGACAAAAAUAGACUUAAAAGGGACUCAAACAAAACAAGAGGAACAAAUUAAGGAGAAAAACGAGAAGAGACGGUAUCUAACAAGAAAAGUUUUACCCAGGAAAAAGAACAAAGUAAAAAACUAAUCGGAUUUGAAGGCCAACUCCAUUGAUCAUGACAUGCAUUUUGGAUUAAGCGGUCUGAUCUGUCAAGCGAGUCUAAUCUUCAACUCUUGUUAUGCCACUAAUUUGUGAAAUUGUGCUUCAGCGCUCCAAUUGUCCUAUGUGAUCCACAAUCCUCAGUCGACUUGUAGUGCCCUGAAGGAUUUUCACCAUCAAGCCUCUCUCAUUUUGCUCUUUUUCUCAGCUCACCGUCGCCUUACAGUGCCCGUGAGGGUUUUCACCACUAAGACUCUCUCAUUUUAUCAUUUUCUCUCUUUGUGCUGAGAACAAGGUAUUACCCAUGAUGCAGGAAGAUCAUACUUUUACCACACACUUUCUUUGGCAUCCUCAAAGAUUGGUCGGAAGGUUUUUCUUUGGACCGUAAUGUAGGCCUUUGGAUAGGGUUAAAAAGAAAGGAUGGUAUAAAGGCUCAAAACAACUAAAAUGGAAGGGGUUUUAACUUACAACUUUUGGAAUCAGAUCUAUUUGUAAAACUAAAACAUCUGCCCCAGUUUCAUUGAGUCUAGGGAAUUUUUUUGGAUUUUUAUUUUGUUGGGACCUAACCUCAGAGUAAGGCUGCCUACGUAUCCUUAAAAGGAAUCAGGUCAAAUGUAGUUCUAACACAAAGUUGGUUUAUUUUGUUGUUUUUCUUUUCCUUUUCUUUCUUUUUCUUUUUUUUCCUUUUUUUUCUUUUCUCCUUUUUUUUCUCUUUUCUUUUCUUUUUCCUUUCUAGUUCCUAACUCUACUUCUGAUUCCAAAAAAGGGGUAUGAAACAAAACAAAUUAAGGCUCAAAAGGGAUAGCAAAAGAUAAAAGUGUUUGGAUAACAGAAUAAAAUGCCUUCGUCAUACCAAACUUUAAAAAUGCCAAGUACAAAUAUGCAAUCGAAGAUAAGCAAAGAAAUCAUACAUAGUAUCUAUUGAUGGCAUCAACACAAACAAAAAGUGCCAAUGAGCAAUACCUUUGUCCCAAUGAAUGAUCCUUGCUAGUUCGAAGCAGACUUGACUCAACCUUAUCUUGAUGUGGAAGAAUGCAUUUCAAUACUGAUUGAUCUACCUCAAACUACUUGUAAGACAUUUCCUUGUUGUAUGCUCUUAUCAACCUCUUGAUUUCUCACACCAACUGCCUCAAUUUCACUCAAUUCAAGCUUCAGGUUAUCUUAGAAUGCGUGAAUCUUUACUUGUUUCCUCAAAUGCAUCUUUUUAUCAUAUUCAAAACUGUGUUUCAUUAUUCCAUGAUUAGACUGGUUUUCAAGAUCUGGCUAAAAUCUCCGCAUGAAUGUCAUGUCACUAGAACUGGCGUGAAGAGAACUAAGCACAGAAUGACACAAAAGGACAAACUGUAUUUUAUUGAGUAAAGGAUGGAAGGGUUUAACGACAAGACAAACAACCUAAAAUCCGAGUCACAACCCUAAAAUAACCCGGAUAAUAGCAACAGAACAGACAGACAAGAUUCACACAAAUAGAGGGAUGGAAGGGUUUGACUCAAUAAAACAAAUAAAAUCUGGAUCACAACCCUGAAGUAACCCAGAUAAUAGAAAAAACAUCAAAACAAGCUACCCAGAUUCCUUCCUAGUAAGGAGGGAAUGACCUUUCAAUUGCUAAGCUUGACAUUUAGCCACAAAUUUGCUCAUCAUAAUCAUCAGGGCCUUCUCCCAUUUCAAAAUCAUUAACUUUAGUCAGCAAGUUCCCGAAAGGAUUCUCAUACUCCAUGUCACCACGCAUCAUCCCCACAAAGUGUGCAUCAUCAUGUGCAGGUAAAUGAUUCUACGCGAUAUUCUGGAUGUCACUGUCCUGGAUCACAAUUCUCUCUUCUUGAAUCAUUCUUUCUAUCUCCCUUUUCAAAGCACGACAAUCUUCAAUGCUAUUCCCUUGGACAUUAGAGUGGUACAUGCACCGUACAGCAGGAUCAAAACCUUUUGCAUAUGGGUCCGGAUUAUAGCCGAGGAGCCACCGUACAGCAGGAUAAAAACCUUUUGCAUAUGGGUCCGGAGUAUAGUCGAGGAGCGGCUCAAUCAGUCCAUAAUGUUUUAACUUUUCAAACAAGCUUGUGUAGGAUUCUCUGAUUGGCGUGAAACUAUUUCUUUGCCUUUGUUCCCCUCCAUGCCCCUAUUUUCUAGGGUUGUUGGAUGCUAAAAAAUGUUAUGAAGGCAAGAGUGUAUUAUGCAGUGCUGGCGCUCGCCAUAAGGAGUAACCCGGUGGUUGGACAGAUGACCGAACGUUGUUCGGAGGAUAAUACUAAGGUGGAUUAUAUGGAGCUCGGGGAUAGGUUUGGGGUUGGGGUUGGGGUCGGGGUCGAGGCUAAGUAUAUUGGUGAGGCAGACCCGUUGGGCCAUGUCGUGAUCCUGAGACAACCAUGGCAACAUCAUCAUAUUCCUCUGACCCAGCAAGCUCCUGUGUCGUUCUGAAUUGCUUGUGUGUGGCUUUAAAGCAGAUAGCUCAUGAUCUUGCUUGACUUUAGCCCAUAUUCUACCAUUUCUCCCAUUUUUACCACAUUAUUAAAAGGCUUACCCAUAGCCGAGAUCAAAUUCCCAAAGUAAGUAGGCUCUUGAGCUUGAAGAAAGUACUCGACCAUCUCGUCUUCUUCCAUCCGGGGAUUGACUCGGGCAGCUUGCUCUCUCCAUCUGAGCCCGUAUUCCCUAAAGCUUUCAUUAGGCUUCUUUUCCAUCUUUGUGAGGGACAUGCAAUCCAGGACAAUUUCUAUAUUGUACUGAAAGUGCCGGGCAAAGGCCUGAGCCAUAUCGUCCCAUGUGUACCAUCCGAUAGCGUCUUGGCAGGUGUACCACUCUAGAGCUGCCCUACUCAGACUCUGACUAAAAUACGCCAUUAAUAAUUUUUCCUUCCCGCCGGCGCCUCUCAUCUUACUGUAGUUGCCUCUCAAAUGGGCCACGGGAUCUCCAUAUACGUCAUACAAAUCAAACUUUGGUAUCUUAAACCCAGCAUGUAGUUGGACAUCAGGAAACAAGCACAAAUCUUUGUAAGACACGCUCACUUGUCUCCCUAUCCCUUGCAUGUUUCUUAAAGACUGCUCUAAGAUUUUCACCUUCCUGGAUAUCUCAUCUUGCUCCACUAUCUUAGCAGGCUUUUCAGUUUCACCGGGAGGCUCAAAAUGAGGAACGUCAGAGUAUGGAUCCGAGACCUUGAAAGUUGGUUCUGGAGCAUAGUGUUGGGCAUCGGGGACUUUGAACACAGUCUCUCUAGAGGAUCGAGGAAGAGUAGCUGGUGGAGGAGCUACAAAAACAUGAGUGGUCAAAGGAGCGGGAUAUGAGGUGGUUUUGGGGGGUGGAGUGUGAAAAGGUUGUGGGGAGAUAUCAGCAGCAGUGGGAAUCUGGAUUUGUGACAAUGGCGGAAUAGUGAUGAGGCUUUCAGUGUAGUUAGUGGGAAACAAUGGUGGACGCCCACUAAUCUAGGCUUGGUAUAUUUCGUCCAUCUGUCCUUUCAACCUUAGGACCUCUUCUUUCAACUCAGAUUCUCAUUCAACAGUCUCCUUAGGCAGAUCAACAACACAUGUGUCCAAGUCUUUGCUAGACAUGGCUAUCUUGCUCUUUGACCUUGUGUUAUAUGGAUGACUCGCUAGAAUGCCACAAACUAACCACCUUCUGUUAUGAUAACAAUGAAAGUACCAAAGAAGAUCAAAACAAAGACAACAUGUUAGCGUUAGAGCAUUUAUCAUAUAGAAAUAUCACAUUGCGUGCAAUGUACCUAGCAACAAUUAACGGUUCUAAAAUAACUUCGAGGGUCACAAGGUCAUUUGGCAUUAUCCAAAUUUUGUUCAUUUCAAUCUUCUCUUUCCUUUCUUUUCUAGAACUUCUUGGCUUGCUCAUUUUCCUUCCUCUCUUUUCUUUCUUAUUAUCACUAUUUUCUUUCUCUCACCCCUCACGUCCCAAAACUUCAUUCUCUUUUUUUCUUUUUUUUUUUAAUAAUGAUUUGAUCAAACUCUAUGUAGGUUGCUUGCGUAUCAUGUUCCACAUGAAUCAGACCAAGCGUAGUUCUGGAAAAGUAAUGGAUAAAAUAAACUAAAAACAAAAAACUUUUUGGAUUUUUCAUUUAUAACUAUUUUUUUUUCAAAUACAAAUGUGAAGUACGAUGAAAAAAGACUCGAUAAACUCUUACACCACCUAAAAGACUCAAAACUACUAGACAAGACAAGAAAGUAAAAGAAAACAUGAAAAUAGACAAAAAAAUAUAAAAAGUCACUUGAAACAAGCUCCCAAAUGCGAUGGCCCUGGGGUAUCUGUCAUGCUCGAGCUCUGGUACAUGGAUCCAUACCUGAAUGAAAAAAAUAAGACCAAAUAAAGUUAGUGACUCGAGACACUAUGUGAGCCAUAACACCUCCUAUUAGGCACAUGCAAGAUGCGAGUGGGGCUAUUUCUACAAAAUGGCUAACGAGGCCAAAAGGUGACUAGAAGUGAAAACUCAAUUAGGACGACCUCUAAAAUAUGGAAACACCUCACGAAGGCCCAUAAACUCUCAGAAAUCGCGGUCCCUAAAAUUGCUUUGUGAAAAUGACCCAACUUUGCGAAAAUGGCCUAUGUGGCCGAAAAAUGGCUAAGCAUGCAAAUUCAACAGGAAUGAACCUUAGACUGAUAGAACAUCAUGUUGUGGACUUAGGACUCUAAGACAUAGGUUAACAAGCCACUUUGAGAAAAUAGCCCUAUUUUACAAAAACGGCCGAUGUGGUCAAAAGUGGCUAGACAUGCAAGAUUUGGCUAUGACCCUCGAAGACAAGAACUUAAGACUCACUAGGAAGACCGGACCCUAUGUGGGCUGCCUACGUAUCCCGACCCGAAAGACGAGAACCAGUUAUGCGUAGUUCGUGAAGAUUGGAUACGGAAGAAAACUAAAAAAAUAACUAAUUUGGAGAAAACAUAUUUUUGUCUUUUUUGGGAAAUGAUGGGAAAGUGCAAAAUCUUUUUGAAUUUUUUCAUUUUCAUUUUUUUAUUUUUUGGUCUUUUCUUGAAAAGGUUGUGAAAGAAAAGUAUAACUGGGCCCUACUUGCUUCAUUUUUAUACUUCACCUUAUUUUCUUUCUCAUUUACCCUCAACCAACAUUGGCCUGUCAAAUGACCCCUUUAUCCUUAAAGAAUGCAGCAUGUAGCACUUAGGGAUGAUUAAAUAUCUUUUGUGGCCGCGAGCCCAUGUUGACAAAAUUUGGAUAGGCCUCCUACAAAGGGAUACGGCACCUGGGACCAAGCCCUGCUAGGUCUAAAUGAUAUGAUGCAAAUAAGAAUGACCUAAAGGCUGACCAAAGUUUAGGGUUCACUAGACAAGGCAAUUCGGGGGAGCGUAUGGUCGAUGGUGGCUGCUCAAGCUUUCCACCCACUCCAUACGUUCGUGUACGCGACGUGCACUAUGAGACUUGUUGCAGAAAGAAUUGACCGGGUAAUGCAUAUGAUGACAGUUAUAAAGCAGUAACACAUAAAUAAAAAAAAUUGUAAACACAUAAACAGCUAGCAAAUAAUAAAAUGGCAUAAACAAAAUAAAAAUCACAUAAAGUAAAACAUAAAAACCUCAACCGAAUAUUCUAAAAAGCCAACAAGAUCAAGUACCAGCUCGAACCUGCAACUCCCCCGCAGAGUCGCUAAAGCUAUCACACCCUUUUUUUUUCACCUCACUAACCCCACUAUAAAAUAAUAAAACGAUUUUGAAAGCUCAAAAGGGUUUUCAAGUCCUAAAAGUGACAAAGGAUUGUGUUUUAAAGGAUUUUCAGAGUCGCCACCUGACAUUUGAUUUCGGUGUGCCAGGUCACUAUUUUUUAAAUAACAAUUUUCCUUCAAAACAUAUUUUGACUCUUAAACCAAUUACACCAGAAAUUCUAGGUAAGGGAGUUCACUUGACUCGGGGAGAAGGUGUUAGGCAUUCCCCGAGUCCCGUGAAAGUCACGGUUGCGUACUCGAUCUAGUUGGCUUUUAAAAUAUUCAAAUUGAGGUAAAAAAAUAUAGAGAAAGGAAAAUAAACACACAAGAGGCUUGAGGUCGUCCCCACCUAAUAAAAGGAAUAAAAAUAAAAUAAAAUACUAAAGUUCUAUUCUACGCUUCCACGCAUCAUCCAGUCUCUGGCCUUCAUUUACAUGUACUUCGGGGCAUUCUCCGGGUAAAAUUUUUACAAACUCUUCGAGAUAUUUUCCGAAAUAUAAACUAAAGGGAACGACCUCUUACCUCGAAUGAAAUAAAAGACAAGACCUAAAGUUUGCCUACCCGGAUGUGGUCGGCCUAAGCAUGCUCCUAACGAUCAAAUGGGUAUAGCGAAAUAAAGAACUAAUAGAAAUGAUCCAAAGCUCAAAUUGUUUUAACUUUUUCAAUUCUCUGCCAUGACAAUUUUGCCUUAAGGAGUCCAAAUGUGAUUUUGCUCUUUAAAUCAGGCAAACCCCCACGGCCAAUUUAUCAAUUAAACGACAAAAUCCAACAAACCACUAAUUUUAAGCUAUAAGUGAACUAUCAUUCUUUUCUUCCUCUUAAUCAAGUUUAAUGAAUGAUAGGCUAAUGAUCUAACAAUAAUCCUUAAAGCUAAUAAUAAAAGGAAUAUGAAAGCAAUAUGAGUGCCAACCAAAUUAAUACACUGCUUUUGUUUGAUUUCAUCAAAAGUUAAUACACAGAAUUUUAAGAAAGGCAUGAGUAAGAAUCUGACCUUAAAACAACGAGUUUGAACUUUGAUUGCUUGAUGGCUCUAAGACUCAAAAACGAACGGGACCGCGAACAAGAUCUAAACCGAAAACCCUCGCUGGAAACCUCGUCGAACUCUGACCGAAUUGCCUCGCUACCUCCCUUUACUCAGAUCUGAGCGUCCGAGACCUUAAACUCACUGAAAUUCGACCUUUAAUGGUAGUACCUUUUGUCGAUCGAAAGAGUUUUGAAGAUAAGAGUGGAAUCGGAGUUCUGAUGUGAAGUUAACAAUGGGAAGUUAAUGGAGCUAUGGAGGUUGCAUAAUAGUUUUAAUGGCUAUUUUCUAUGGAGAUCGAGUGUAGUUAGGCGGCGGCUCUUCUGAUACUAGGCAUGCUCUGUUUUUUCUCCGUCCUCCUCCCUCUCGUCACUCUCUCUGUCUGCUUCUCCGUAUAUCUCUUACUCUAUUUUGUUUCUGAUUUUACCAUCCUCUU
Molecule: long non-coding RNA, 13306 nt
Filed under: Nicotiana tabacum (common tobacco)
Lineage: Eukaryota; Viridiplantae; Streptophyta; Magnoliopsida; Solanales; Solanaceae
Description: long non-coding RNA (NTAB_LNC002606)
Source: RNAcentral